UACGGAGGGUGCAAGCGUUGUCCGGAUUUAUUGGGUUUAAAGGGUUCGUAGGUGGCCAAUUAAGUCAGACGUGAAAUCCCUCAGCUUAACUGGGGAACUGCGUCUGAGACUGGAUGGCUUGAGUGCAGGAGAGGAACGCGGAAUUCCAGGUGUAGCGGUGAAAUGCGUAGAUAUCUGGAGGAACACCGGUGGCGAAGGCGGCGUUCUGGACUGCAACUGACACUGAGGAACGAAAGCCAGGGGAGCAAACGGG
Molecule: ribosomal RNA, 253 nt
Filed under: uncultured bacterium
Lineage: Bacteria
Description: partial 16S ribosomal RNA
Rfam family: Bacterial small subunit ribosomal RNA
Source: RNAcentral